RNAcentral lists this ribosomal RNA (301 nucleotides) under uncultured bacterium. RNAcentral describes it as "partial 16S ribosomal RNA". It matches the Rfam family "Bacterial small subunit ribosomal RNA", at positions 509 to 808 of the family's 1533-position model. The record is from RNAcentral.
CAGCAGCCGCGGUAAAACGUAGGGUGCGAGCGUUAAUCGGAAUUACUGGGCGUAAAGCGUGCGCAGGCGGUUCGUUAAGACAGAUGUGAAAUCCCCGGGCUUAACCUGGGAACUGCAUUUGUGACUGGCGAGCUAGAGUAUGGCAGAGGGGGGUAGAAUUCCACGUGUAGCAGUGAAGUGCGUAGAGAUGUGGAGGAAUACCGAUGGCGAAGGCAGCCCCCUGGGCCAAUACUGACGCUCAUGCACGAAAGCGUGGGGAGCAAACAGGAUUAGAUACCCCAGUAGUCCCGUCUCUUAUACA